CCCUUAGAUGUCCUGGGCAGCACGCGUGCUACAAUGAUGCAUUCAACGAGUCUUGCCUUAACCGAAAGGUUCGGGUAAACUUUUGAAAUUGCAUCUUGUCGGGACUUGAUCAUUGUAAUUUUUGAUCACAAACAAGGAAUUCCUUGUAAAUGUGAGUCAUCAACUUGCAUUGAAUACGUCCCUGCCCUUUGUACACACCGCCCGUCGCUUCUACCGAUGAAUGAUCCGGUGAACACUCUGGACUUGUUGUCUGUCGGAGCAAUCCAAAGACGAUAGGGAAGUUGUGUAAACCUUAUCAUUUAGAGGAAGAAGAAGUCGUAACA
RNAcentral lists this ribosomal RNA (323 nucleotides) under uncultured eukaryote. Its description in RNAcentral is "partial 18S ribosomal RNA". It matches the Rfam family "Eukaryotic small subunit ribosomal RNA", at positions 1470 to 1796 of the family's 1831-position model. The record is from RNAcentral.